UUCGGUCGCACAAUAUUUACU
Molecule: non-coding RNA, 21 nt
Filed under: Arabidopsis thaliana (thale cress)
Lineage: Eukaryota; Viridiplantae; Streptophyta; Magnoliopsida; Brassicales; Brassicaceae
Source: RNAcentral